AAUAAAGUGCCUGAUAAAAGGAUUAUCUUGAUAGGAUAAAUUAUAUAUAAAUAAAUAUCUUUAUUA
RNAcentral lists this transfer RNA (66 nucleotides) under Paracaecilius japanus. Its description in RNAcentral is "tRNA-Ile". The record is from RNAcentral. Lineage: Eukaryota; Metazoa; Arthropoda; Insecta; Psocodea; Caeciliusidae.